Molecule: ribosomal RNA, 1188 nt
Filed under: Triticum aestivum (bread wheat)
Lineage: Eukaryota; Viridiplantae; Streptophyta; Magnoliopsida; Poales; Poaceae
Description: partial small subunit ribosomal RNA
Source: RNAcentral
AUGAUGGAGGUGAGGGCGUCGCAGGAGCAGCAGAGAGGGAUGGCCGGGAGGGAGCCGUUCGGACUGCCCAACAGCCCGCCCACGCCGCAGUCCUCCGGACCCGUGCCCAACAUGCGCAUGACCUACGGCGAGGACGGCAACGCCUACUUCCUUAAGCCGGGCUCAGCUCCGCCGCCGGCGGAGGCGUACCAGCCAGGGGGAGGCGCUGGCCUCAACAUGCCGGCUGGCCCCAACGCGGCUGCUGCGGGGGGCAAUGGCGGGCCAGCGUUCGAGCUCAACAUGGAGGAGGAGGCCGCCAAGAAGCGCGGCCGCGCAAUGAAGUACGGCGACGACGGCUCCACGUCCCUGGCAUUGGUGCCCGUGCCCAUGCCCGAGGAGCCUACUGCAGUGGCGCCCGGUGAUUCCGGGGCUUUCUCGGCGCCGGCCGUCAAACCGGCGGCGGGCGGCGUGCUGGCGGUGCCGCCGGUGGGGAUGAAGAAGCGGGGUCGCCCAAAGGGCUCCACCAACAAGGUGAAGAAGCAAGACAAGGUCAUGUCUGCGCUUGCUUUCAUCGGGACUGCAGGAGCUGGCUUUACUCCACAUGUAAUUGCUGUUCAAGCUGGAGAGGAUGUGGCUGCAAAGAUCCUGUCAUUUGCGCAGCAUGGAGUUCGUGCAGUUGUUGUUCUUUCAGCAAAUGGCGCCAUUUCAAACGUGACCCUUAGGCAAUCUGCCACUUCAGGUGGGACGGUCACAUACGAGGGCCGAUUUGAAAUACUGUCACUGUCUGGAUCGUUCACCGUGCAAGAGACUGGAGGCCAUCGUAGCCGGACCGGUGGGCUGAGUGUUUCACUCGCAAGUCCUGAUGGCCGCGUCUUGGGUGGCGGAAUUGCUGGACUUCUGAUUGCCUGCACACCUAUUCAGGUUGUGGUGGGAACCUUCAACACGGUCGCCGAGAAGAAGGCGCCGAAGCACCAAGCUGCUGCUGCACAUGAGCCCGCAUCCGCGCCACCGAGGAUGACGCCGAACUUCGUGCCGGCGCCGAUCGCCGUGCCGCCGCUCGCGACCGCUCCCAUCAGCGUCGGGAUGGCCCAGAACAGCCCGCCGUCCAGGGGCACGCUCAGCGAGUCCUCCGGGAGCCCGAUGAACCAGGGCGUGCCGGCCGCGGCCACUCCCAGCAACAGCGGCCUGUCCAGCAUGCCCUGGAAGUGA